RNAcentral lists this ribosomal RNA (482 nucleotides) under uncultured bacterium. RNAcentral's name for it is "partial 16S ribosomal RNA". It matches the Rfam family "Bacterial small subunit ribosomal RNA", at positions 30 to 507 of the family's 1533-position model. The record is from RNAcentral.
AUUGAACGCUGGCGGCAUGCUUUACACAUGCAAGUCGAACGGUAACAGGCCGCAAGGUGCUGACGAGUGGCGCACGGGUGAGUAAUGCAUCGGAACGUGCCCAGUCGUGGGGGAUAACUACUCGAAAGAGUAGCUAAUACCGCAUACGAUCUAUGGAUGACAGCGGGGGACCGUAAGGCCUCGCGCGAUUGGAGCGGCCGAUGUCAGAUUAGGUAGUUGGUGGGGUAAAGGCUCACCAAGCCAACGAUCUGUAGCUGGUCUGAGAGGACAACCAGCCACACUGGGACUGAGACACGGCCCAGACUCCUACGGGAGGCAGCAGUGGGGAAUUUUGGACAAUGGGCGCAAGCCUGAUCCAGCAAUGCCGCGUGCAGGAAGAAGGCCUUCGGGUUGUAAACUGCUUUUGUACGGAACGAAACGGCUCUGGUUAAUACCCGGGGCUAAUGACGGUACCGUAAGAAUAAGCACCGGCUAACUACGUG